GGCUUCGUGGCUCAGCUGGUGAGCAUUGCCGCGUUUAGGCAUGUGUUCUGUCGCUGGUUCGAAUCCAGCCGAAGUCC
Molecule: non-coding RNA, 77 nt
Organism: Paragonimus kellicotti
Lineage: Eukaryota; Metazoa; Platyhelminthes; Trematoda; Plagiorchiida; Troglotrematidae
Source: the annotation of a GenBank genome assembly